Molecule: long non-coding RNA, 2774 nt
Organism: Oncorhynchus masou masou (cherry salmon)
Lineage: Eukaryota; Metazoa; Chordata; Actinopteri; Salmoniformes; Salmonidae
Exons: 6
Source: RefSeq, a predicted model, not a curated record
UCAACAUGUGUGGAAAUAACAACAACAACACGGCGAGCCGGGAGCUCACCUACGAUGGUUGUAAUCUUUUCAGACAAACACCAGUGUUAUCAACGCUAAAUUGCAAAAGCAAAACUUACCAUCUGAAGAGGAUAACCCAGGACUCCGAGAUUUUGUAUCCAGCUUCAUCAGGCUUCUGGACAAGGUAACCUAAGGGACCAAAAUUGAAAUCAAGUCAUGAGAGGAUGAAUGCAGUGUUGCCAACUCCUCAGUAAGGAAAGUAGCUAUUGGCUGUCCUAAAUGACGUCAUCGCCCAAUUUGCAUAAUUGGCCAUGUGCAUGUAAUUGUGAUGGAUGCUGUAGGAAUAACGUCGUGGAGAGACAAAAGGAAGCGGCGGCUUCCCGCAUGCGUGAUUCAUUUGCAGUCUGGAUGCGGAGGGGUGAACAUCUCCUGCUCUGACUGGGCUGCCUGAACGGUGCUGUUCUACCAGCUCGGCCUGCUGUAUGGUGUCGUGGUGGAACAUGACUAACACCCAGCGCUCUCUGGGUUAUUACCUGGUUUCCCUGCUCAUGUGGGCUCCCUUCAUGAAGCACCCUUUGAAGGCUGUGCUGAAGGGGAUCACCAACGAUCCCAUUGACUUCUCGGCCCUCCCAGCCAACACCACCUCAUCAGAAUGCCUGUUGCUGUUGAUGGAGAGAUGUACAGAUGGCAGCAGAACAUGCAGCAUAGUGAAGACUUGACUUCACUGUGAGCAUAACUAUGAAUGGAUCAGUCAGCCACCUGUUGGCAAGUAUCCGGUUAGACAAACCUGUCAUCGACAACAGCUUUCACAGGCUCAUCAUUUGUACAAAUACAGAAGGUCGCAGUUGUAAAGGAGAACUUGUUCUCAACUGCCCUACCUGGUUAAAUUUACACAGCCUGGAGGUGUGUUGGGUUAUUGUCCUGUUGAAAAACAAAUGAUAGUCCCACUAAGUGCAAACUUGAUGGGAUGACGUUUCACAGAAUGCUGUCGUAGCCAUGCUGGUUAAGUGUGCCUUGAAUUUUAAAUAAAUCACUGACUGUGUUACCAGCAAAGCACCAUCACACCACCACCUCCAUACUUCAUGGUGGGAACCACACAAGCGGAGAUCAUCCGUUCUCCAUCUCACAAAGACAUGGCGGUUGAAACAAAAAAUCAGACCUAAGAGCACAUUUCCACCGGUCUAAUGUCCAUUUCUCGUGUUUCUUGGCCCAAGCAAGUCUCUUCGUCUUAUUGGUGUGCUUUAGUAGUAGUUUCUUUGCAGCAAUUUGACCAUGUAGGCCUGAUUUUUAUUUUUAUUUUUUAAACAGUCUCCUCUGAACAGUUGAUGUUGAGAUGUCUCUUACUUGAACUCUGUGAAGCAUUUAUUUGGGCUGCAAUUUCUGAGGCUGGUAACUCUAAUGAAUUUAUCUUCUGCAGCAGAGGUAACUCUGGGUCUUCCUUUCUAGUGGCGGUCCUCAUGAGAGCCAGUUUCAUCAUAGCACUUGAUGGUUUUUGUGACUGCACUUGAAGAAACUUUCAAAGUUCUUAAUGUUCUGGGUUGACUGACCUUCAUGUCUUAAAGUAAUGAUGGACUGUCAUUUCUAUUUUCUUAUUUGAGCUGCUGUUGCCAUAAUAUGGACUUGGUCUUUUACUAAAUAGGACUAUCUUCUGUAGUCCAAAUGCAACGCUAUUUCUCUGUAAACAAAUUAACAGACUUACAGCAUGCUUAUAGAGAAGGGCACCCAACAUGUACUGCACUGGCACAAAUGACUGAUGAAAAUAAAUUGAUAAGAUUGGGGGAGCUGUACUGUUAGAUUUCAGUGCAGCCUUUGACACUAUUGACCAUAACCUGUUGUUGAAAAAAACGUAUGUGUUAUGGCUUUUCAACCUCUGCAACAUCGUGGAUUCAGAGCUAUCUAAUAAAACUCAAAGGAUUUUCUUUAAUGGAAACUUCUCUGUCAAACAUAUAAAGUGUGGUGUACCGCAGGGCAGCUCUCAAGGCCCUCUACUCUUUUUUUUCUGUUUUUACCAGUGACCUGGCAUUACACAAAGCAUGUGUGUCCUGUAUGCUGAUGAUUCAACCACAGGUAAUGAAGUCACUGAAACUUUUAACAAAGAAUGUUUUGGAAUGUGUUGUGAGUAAUAAACUGGUCCUGAACAUCUCUAAAACUAAGAGCAUUGUAUUUGGUACAAAACAUUCCUUAAGUUUUAGACCUCAGCUGAAUCAUCUGGUAAUGAAUGGUGUGGCUGUUUGAACAAGUUGAGGAGACUAAAUUACUUGGUGUUACCUUAGGUUGUAAACUGAUAUGGUCAAAAAUGUAUUGAUUCAAUGGUUGUAAAAAUGGGGAGAGGUCUGGCUGUAAUGAAAAGAUGCUCUGCUUUUUUUGAUACCACACUCUAACAAGCAAGUUCUGCAGGCUCUAGUUUUGUUUAAUCUUGAUUAUUGUCCAGUCGUGUGGUCCAUUGCUGCAUAGUUAAGCUGCAGCUGGCCCAGAACAGAGCAGCACAUCUUGCUUUUCAUUGUAAUCAGAGGGCUGAUAUAAAUACUAUGCAUAGCAGUCUCUCUUGGCUAAGCGUUGAGGAGAGCCUGACUGCAUCACUUCUUUUUAUAAGAAACAUUGUUAAAUCCCAAAUUGUUUGCAUAGCUAACUUACACACAGCUCUGACACACACAUUUAUCCCACCAGACAUGCCACCAGGGGUCUUUUCACAGUCCACAAUCCAGAACAAAUUCAAGAAAGCAUACAGUAUUAUAGUGUGCCUUUUUUUUAAAAAUUAAAAGGUAUGUUCUGUC